This 466-nucleotide ribosomal RNA is filed under the name uncultured bacterium. Its description in RNAcentral is "partial 16S ribosomal RNA". It matches the Rfam family "Bacterial small subunit ribosomal RNA", at positions 28 to 507 of the family's 1533-position model. The record is from RNAcentral.
GACGAACGCUGGCGGUGUGCUUAACACAUGCAAGUCGAACGGUAAGGCCCUUUCGGGGGUACACGAGUGGCGAACGGGUGAGUAACACGUGAGUAACCUGCCCUCAUCUCUGGGAUAACAGUCGGAAACGGUUGCUAAUACUGGAUAUGAGCUUGCAAGGCAUCUUGUGGGUUGGAAAGAUUUUUUUGGUUGGGGAUGGAUUCGCGGCCUAUCAGCUUGUUGGUGAGGUAGUGGCUCACCAAGGCUUCGACGGGUAGCCGGCCUGAGAGGGCGACCGGCCACAUUGGGACUGAGAUACGGCCCAAACUCCUACGGGAGGCAGCAGUGGGGAAUAUUGCACAAUGGACGGAAGUCUGAUGCAGCAACGCCGCGUGCGGGAUGACGGCCUUCGGGUUGUAAACCGCUUUCAAUUGUGACGAAGCUUUUUGUGACGGUAGUAGUAGAAGAAGCACCGGCUAACUACGUG